UGAAAGCGGAUGGUCACGUUUAUAGUCAGCUGUUUUUGUCAAGUGUUACCUACUCACUGAGAGAGUUCCUGGGUCUAUAAGGGAACAGAAAGAUUAUGCCCUCUGCCUCCUCCCUUCUUGCUUUCCCUUGGAUUCUUCUACUCAAACCACUCUGAACUUGCAAUAAGCAACAUUACAUUUCCAAUGUAUCACCAAGUCCAAGUAUAGCAUCUCUGGGAAGUAAAGCAUGGUCAGGAAGGUGCAACUGUCUGUUAUGCUUAAGGACACAGAAAAUGUCAAGGUACUCAGGUGAUAACAAGGCUGGUCUCUGAUGACUGAGGCCGAGAUGUUUCAC
Molecule: long non-coding RNA, 334 nt
Filed under: Dromaius novaehollandiae (emu)
Lineage: Eukaryota; Metazoa; Chordata; Aves; Casuariiformes; Dromaiidae
Description: lncRNA (ENSDNVG00000005042.1)
Source: RNAcentral